GCACGAUUUUUUUUUUACAAAAUUCACUUCAUUUCAGCGUAUACUAUUCGUAAAUAUGAAUGUAUUAACGUAUAUCAAGAAUUACAUCAAGUCGAGUAUUUAUUAUGUACAACUUAUAAACACUGACAGGUUGUUUUUGUUAAUGUUUAAAUUAAGAUAUGAUCUUGUGCAUUCUUCAAUCUUCAUGUGUUAUAUUUAAGAUGAUGUAUUCUGAGCGUGCCCACACCAGGCAAGUUGAACAUUUUGCUUGACCGGCGUAGGGGGAAACAAACUUUUCAGCUUGCCUGCAUCAUCUUAAAUUUGACCGAUGAAGUAUAUGAACGCUAGACAGGUUCAGAUUUGACUUCUACUACCGCU
Paramuricea clavata is the source of this 357-nucleotide non-coding RNA. The record is from the annotation of a GenBank genome assembly. Lineage: Eukaryota; Metazoa; Cnidaria; Anthozoa; Malacalcyonacea; Plexauridae.